GGAAGAGAUUUCUGGCAAAAUAUGUCAGGGUUAUGUUCAGUGAUCCAAGUGCUUUAAUAAGGCACUCUAAUGUGAAAAGAAUGUCAAAGGGAAGCUCGAAAGAAACAUUGAAGUGAACAGGUAAAUGUGUCCUCAAAGGCUGGUUACACAGACCUCGACUGAGCAUAGGGUAAGCAUAACCUCCGUCUCCCCUCAGCCUCCUUUCAGGACUGCCUGUCCUGUUUCCAGGAAUGGAGAGGCCACCUUGAUAACAGACACAGUUUCACCAGGAGUCCUACACUGUCAAAAUGUUGUGAGCAGCUGAGGACUGUGUGGAAGGAAAAGAGAAAAUUCAAAUGAUAUGGAGCACAGAAAGAAUAUUAAAAAGUUAAAAGAAAUCGUUCAAAGAUAAUGUGUGGUUGCCAAAGGCAAUGGCAGUAAUCAAGAUCUUAAAGUCCAAUAUGAUGAAUCAAACAGUAAAAAAAAAAAAGAAAGUAAUCAUACGGCCUAAGAAAUAACCAAAGGUAUGGAAGAGUUUAAGGGACUUCAGGUAAGGAGAAAAAAAGAAAAGAAGGCAAGAAAAGCUGAGGGGAAAAACCAAAGGAAAAGAGAAAUUAAGUACUCACAGAAUCACAGACUGACUGAGGUUGGAAAAGACCUCUGUACAUCACCUGGUCCAGCCCCCUGCUCAGGCAGGGCUACCCAGAGCUGGUAGCCCAGAGCCAUGUCCAGAUUGGUUCUGGGUAUCUCCAGGGUUGGAGUCUCUGCCACCGCCCUGGUUGUACUUGGUCACCCUCACAGUGACAAAGUGUCUCCUGAUGUCCAGAGGAACCCUCCUACGUGUCAGCGUGUGCCCCUGGCCUCUGGUCCUGUCCCGGGGCACCUCUGGAAUCACCCCUGGAAUCCUCCUCAUUUCCUCCCUGCAGGGAUUUGUGGGUGGAUUCCAUCCCCCUGAGGCUGCUCUGCUCCAGCUGAGCAGCCCCAGCUCCCUCCGGCCUCUCCUCGUAGCAGAGAUGCUCCAGGUCCUGCAGCACCUUGGUCGCCCCUCGCUGGACUCUCUGCAGCAUGGAGAUUUGGGAAUUCAACAGUCAGUGCGCAUUUAAGAUACCAUGUGGCAAAUGAGAUUUAGGUAGCAAGCCCUGAAUUUCAAAUCACAAUUAACUGUAUGCUGAAAGGAAAGUAUAUACUUAAAAUUAAGCCCACUUUUAAAUGCUUUCCUGAAUGAGACCAUACAUAAGAGGAGAGAAGAAAUAUUACAAUGGAUGGAAUGUGAAUAUCAUGGUGUAUCUACUAAGAAACCCAGUUUCACUUAGACAAAGAAGAGGUUGGAUCAAGUCUGAAAAGUAACGUUAAUGCUAACAUUUAUUAACUUUUGAGAUCUUGUUGGUUUAGUAUUAACUGUGUAUAUUUGCAGGGUCUGUUGCAGCUUUUGGCUUACUUGAUCUGUGCCCUGGAUGCAUGUAUGCCCUUAUAACAUAAAUAUUAACAACGUAUUAGCAAUAUUAGCAACAAGUGACUGGGGAAGUGACUUCUGUUUAACAGGACUUUUAACUUGAUAAAUUCUCCAGUGACUGGUCUUCUGCUAGGAGACUUCAUGACAUGUGGAGAUCACUGGCAGUAUAAACUCAUGUACAGGGGAUUGUGCAAAUCACAUGUUUAAUACCUCUAAAAAAGAACAAAUAAUAUAUAGUCAAAUAAAUGUACAACCUCAGUAUUGAGUAUAAUCUCAAUGUUAUGUGUGAUUGUGAAUGUGUUGAAUGUGAAUGAACAUAAAAAUGUAUAAAGAAAAACAUAAAUCAGUGGAGAAGAAAAUAGUUCAACUAAGAGCAAUGAGUUACAUAGAAAAAAGCGCUCUCUCUUAGUGGCUUCACAGUAUUAGUAAGCGACAGAUAGAGCAGAUGUUCUCUCUUUGUUUCUCUACAUUUGUAUGUUGUAGUUCUAAUUGAAACAGUGUUUGAGGAGAGUUUGAACACAUGCGCAUUUUGGAAAUAGAAAUCAAAUUCUGGCAUGUCAGAGUCUCAGUAAAAAAGAAGAAAUGUUUUAGGGGAACAUGUAUUGAUUGUCUUUAAAACAAACCAAACAAAUCCCCAAAAUACAUUUUUGGGCAGUAAUUCAUCUGGAAACUGGAUGAAAAUAUAAACCAAUAUUCACUGCCCUACUAAAACGCUGGUUGCAAGCAUGUAGCCUCAAUGGCAGCAGAAGAAUCUAGGGAAGCAUAAAAGAAUAUGGUGUUACCGUUGUCUUCAGAGAGUUACUCUUAUGACUGAGAGUAAUGGUUGCAGAAUGAGGUCCAAGAUACAAUGGAUGUAGCAAAAUGUCUGUAUAUUUCUGUCAGAAUCGGCCCA
This is a long non-coding RNA of Strigops habroptila (Kakapo), 2324 nucleotides long. Lineage: Eukaryota; Metazoa; Chordata; Aves; Psittaciformes; Psittacidae. The record is from Ensembl.